Molecule: ribosomal RNA, 303 nt
Filed under: uncultured bacterium
Lineage: Bacteria
Description: bacterial SSU rRNA
Rfam family: Bacterial small subunit ribosomal RNA
Source: RNAcentral
AACGAACGCUGGCGGCAUGCCUAACACAUGCAAGUCGAACGAGACCUUCGGGUCUAGUGGCGCACGGGUGCGUAACGCGUGGGAACCUGCCUUUAGGUUCGGAAUAACUCAGAGAAAUUUGAGCUAAUACCGGAUAAUGUCUUCGGACCAAAGAUUUAUCGCCUUUAGAUGGGCCCGCGUUGGAUUAGCUAGUUGGUGGGUAAAGGCCUACCAAGGCGACGAUCCAUAGCUGGUCUGAGAGGAUGAUCAGCCACACUGGGACUGAGAUACGGCCCAGACUCCUACGGAGGCAGCAGUGGGAAG